UGGGGAAUAUUGCACAAUGGGCGAAAGCCUGAUGCAGCAACGCCGCGUGAGUGAUGAAGGCCUUCGGGUUGUAAAGCUCUGUCUUUUGGGACGAUAAUGACGGUACCAAAGGAGGAAGCCACGGCUAACUACGUGCCAGCAGCCGCGGUAAUACGUAGGUGGCAAGCGUUGUCCGGAUUUACUGGGCGUAAAGGAUGCGUAGGCGGAUUUUUAAGUGAGAUGUGAAAACCCUAAGCUUAACUUGGGGACUGCAUUUCAUACUGGAAAUCUAGAGUGCGGGAGAGGAGAAUGGAAUUCCUAGUGUAGCGGUGAAAUGCGCAGAGAUUAGGAAGAACACCAGUGGCGAAGGCGAUUCUCUGGACCGUAACUGACGCUGAGGCAUGAAAGCGUGGGUAGCAAACAGGAUUAGAUACCCUGGUAGUCCACGCCGUAAACGAUGAGUACUAGGUGUAGGAGGUAUCGACCCCUUCUGUGCCGCAGUUAACACAAUAAGUACUCCGCCUGGGAAGUACGAUCGCAAGAUUAAAA
This 528-nucleotide ribosomal RNA is filed under the name uncultured bacterium. RNAcentral describes it as "partial 16S ribosomal RNA". It matches the Rfam family "Bacterial small subunit ribosomal RNA", at positions 355 to 899 of the family's 1533-position model. The record is from RNAcentral.